UGGGGAAUAUUGCACAAUGGGCGAAAGCCUGAUGCAGGCACGCCGCGUGAGGGAUGACGGCCUUCGGGUUGUAAACCUCUUUCAGCAGGGAAGAAGCGAAAGUGACGGUACCUGCAGAAGAAGCGCCGGCUAACUACGUG
This 140-nucleotide ribosomal RNA is filed under the name soil bacterium dns4. Its description in RNAcentral is "partial 16S ribosomal RNA". It matches the Rfam family "Bacterial small subunit ribosomal RNA", at positions 355 to 507 of the family's 1533-position model. The record is from RNAcentral. Lineage: Bacteria; Bacillati; Actinomycetota; Actinomycetes; Micrococcales.